This 501-nucleotide ribosomal RNA is filed under the name uncultured bacterium. RNAcentral's name for it is "partial 16S ribosomal RNA". It matches the Rfam family "Bacterial small subunit ribosomal RNA", at positions 899 to 1397 of the family's 1533-position model. The record is from RNAcentral.
ACUCAAAUGAAUUGACGGGGGCCCGCACAAGCGGUGGAGCAUGUGGUUUAAUUCGACGCAACGCGAAGAACCUUACCAAGGCUUGACAUCCUCAGAAUCCUAAGGAAACUUAGGAGUGCCCUUCGGGGAGCUGAGAGACAGGUGGUGCAUGGUUGUCGUCAGCUCGUGUCGUGAGAUGUUGGGUUAAGUCCCGCAACGAGCGCAACCCCUGUGUUUAGUUGCUAACGCGUGAUGGCGAGCACUCUAGACAGACUGCCGGUGAUAAACCGGAGGAAGGUGGGGAUGACGUCAAAUCAUCAUGCCCCUUAUGUCUUGGGCUACACACGUGCUACAAUGGCCGGUACAGACGGAAGCGAAGCCGCGAGGUGAAGCAAAUCCGAGAAAGCCGGUCUCAGUUCGGAUUGCAGGCUGCAACUCGCCUGCAUGAAGUCGGAAUCGCUAGUAAUCGCAGGUCAGCAUACUGCGGUGAAUACGUUCCCGGGCCUUGUACACACCGCCCGU